Molecule: long non-coding RNA, 1556 nt
Organism: Homo sapiens (human)
Lineage: Eukaryota; Metazoa; Chordata; Mammalia; Primates; Hominidae
Product: long intergenic non-protein coding RNA 2895
Source: Ensembl
GCAUGCGAUUUAAAAAAAUUGUUCUGGUAAUACUCUGUUCAACACUACAAGUAAUUCUGCAUCAAGAGAAAGCUCCAAAUAUUCUAACAACCAUUCAGCAUUUCCAAUGAUCUUAGAUCCACGCUUGGUGCGAAAACUGAAAACGAGAGAAAGGAAACGCUGUGGCCAGGUCCAUCUGAUACUGUGAAAUAUUUCUUAUCUUGAUUUUCUCCUGGAUAAGAUCCUGGAGCUUGAAACCAAAGGCAAAACUCCUAUCUGUGGGCUUCUCAUAUUGUCUCAUCUCUAAAAGCACAUCCAAUCCUGACACUACUAAGAGAAAUGAGAAAGCUAUCUCUGUACUUUCGACGGAACCAAUCUUAGAGUAAUUGUCUGGAGAUUAUGGAACCUAUUGCCUCUGAAUAAUUGAGUAACAGAGUGAAUCAUAUCACUUGAAGGUGUUUGGACUCGGACUGCAACCAUACCAUUGACUCUCCUGGGUUUCCAGCUUGCUGACUACAUCUCUUGGACUUUACCUCCAUAAUCACAUGAGCCAAUUCCUUACAGUAAAUCUUUCUUUCUCUCAGUACAGAUAUAGAUAUAGAUAUAUAUCCUGUUGGUUCUGUUUCUCAGGAGAACUCAGACUAAUAUACUCCCUUAGUCAUGCAAUCAUCAUAAGCUAUUUGGCAUGACAGCAUCCUGAAUGGAUUGCUAUUUGAACUAAGGAAAGGGUCAGCUCUUAAACAGGGCAAUCAACCAGGGAGCUAGUUUUGCUGUGUCAACAGGGUUAAGGCACUUCGUGGGAGCAAAAGAAGCUCCAAAGAAAUGCCAAAUGCAGAACUAAUUACCUAUUACUUAAAUAGUAACUGAUGGUUUGCCAGUCAUAGGAGUGCAGGCCUUUUUGUCUCUCUGAAUAUCUAGUUGACCAUUUGCUAGAGAGAAGUACUUGCUUGGACUCAUGCUUACUGCAUCCAUGUCUUUUCCAUGCCUCUCUCAAUUUGUAAAACAAAUGGCCUCUAGGUUUCUGGUCAUAUAUUUAGAGACUUAAGAGCAAGAUACUCCCUUACAUUUAAAACACAGAAAAACUUGGUGUUGUCUCAUUAGGACAAUAAAAUCUUUGUGCCUGAUUAUAUUGUUCAAAAUGGCCAAAGCAGUAUCUCCACUCCUACAUGCUCUUAUAGAACCAGGCUACUUUGCAUUAAGAGAUGGAGUUUAUUUCCCCUCUCCUUGAACCUGAGUAGGCUUGUCACUUCUCCAGCCAGUAGGGUAUAACAGAAGUGAUGCUGUGUGACUUCUGAAGCUAGGUCAUAGAAAGGAUACGGCUUCCGCCUGGCUAUCUCUUUUGGAAUGCAGCCAUAGUAUUGUGAAGAAGCCAAGGUCACAUGGAGGGCCCAUGUAUAGAUGUUCCAGUCAACAGCUAUUAAGUUCCCAGCCGACAGCUAGCAUUAAUUGUGAGUGAAUAGGCCUUCAGAUGAUUCCAGCUUCCAGCCUUCAAUUCUUUCAGUAUCAGACAUCUUGGAGCAAAUACAAACCAUUCUUUCUGUGCCUGUCCAAAUUUCUGACCUACAGAUCUAUGAGCA